CGCUCAACAGCUAGCUCAACCCCCGAGUUCAACAACACAAUAUUAAUAACCCCCCAAGGCCUAAGCCACCCUAAACAAAUCAUUUUACCCCCUAAGUAUGGGCGACAGAAAAGGACACCCGAAGCAACAGCACUAGUACCGCAAGGGAACGCUGAAAGAGAAAUGAAACAAAUCAGAAGCAAGCACAACAAAGCAGAGAUUAACCCUCGUACCUUUUGCAUCAUGAAUUAGCAAGAAAGUGUCAAGCAAAAGGACUUUUAGUUUGACUCCCCGAAACCAGGUGAGCUACUCCAAGACAGCCUAAUUAGGGCGAACCCGUCUCUGUGGCAAAAGAGUGGGGAGAGCUUUGAGUAGAGGUGACAGACCUACCGAACUUGGUUAUAGCUGGUUGCCCGAGAAUUGAAUAGUAGUUCAGCCUUCUGCCCUCUCCCCCCAAGACCAUACCGCCUUAUUAAGCCCCUUAGAGGGCAUAAGAGUUACUCAAAGGGGGUACAGCCCCUUUGAAACAGAUACAACUUUAACAGAAGGGUUAAGAUCAUAAGCACACCAGGGAACGUGUUUCGGUUGGCUUAAAAGCAGCCACCCCCGCAGAAAGCGUUAAAGCUCGUACACCCCUCCCACCCUAUUAUUAGGACCACAACAUCUUACCCCCCUACUUCAUACCGGGCCUUUCCAUAGAAAUGGAAGAGAUUAUGCUAAUAUGAGUAAUAAGAGAGCCAGACUCUCUCCUCGCACAAGUUUAAAUCGGAACGAACUGACACCGAACAUUAACGACCUCAAAAAAGAGGGUACUGGACAUUAUAAAAAGACCACUAGAAAACCGUCCAACUAAACCCCGCCGUUAACCUUACACUAGAGUGCAUACAAGGAAAGACUAAAAAAAGAAGAAGGAACUCGGCAAACACCUCUAGCCCCGCCUGUUUACCAAAAACAUCGCCUCUUGCAAACUUAGAAUAAGAGGUCCCGCCUGCCCUGUGACUAAAGUUUAACGGCCGCGGUACUCUGACCGUGCGAAGGUAGCGCAAUCACUUGUCUUUUAAAUGAAGACCUGUAUGAAUGGCAUGACGAGGGCUAAACUGUCUCCUUUUUUAAGUCAAUGAAAUUGAUCUCCCCGUGCAGAAGCGGGAAUUUACCCAUAAGACGAGAAGACCCUAUGGAGCUUUAGACAAAGGGCAGAGCAUGUUAAGGAACCCAGAAUAAAGGGAAGAACUUAGUGACUGCUGUUCGACCUGUCUUUGGUUGGGGCGACCACGGAGUAAAAAGAAACCCCCGCGUGGAAUAAGGGGAACCCCCUUUCAAGUGAGAGUGACAACUCUAGCUAACAGAACUUCUGACCAAUAGUGAUCCGCCAAGGCGAUCAACGAACCGAGUUACCCUAGGGAUAACAGCGCAAUCCCCUUCUAGAGCCCAUAUCGACAAGGGGGUUUACGACCUCGAUGUUGGAUCAGGACAUCCUAAUGGCGCAGCCGCUAUUAAGGGUUCGUUUGUUCAACGAUUAAAGUCCUACGUGAUCUGAGUUCAGACCGGAGUAAUCCAGGUCAGUUUCUAUCUAUGAUAUGAUUUUCUCUAGUACGAAAGGACCGAGAAAAAGGGGCCCAUGCUGUAAGUACGCCUCACCCCCACCAAUUGACUUCAACUAAAAUAGAUAAGAGGGCAUAACGCUUCUUUCUAAGAAAAAGAAU
Molecule: ribosomal RNA, 1682 nt
Filed under: Astrapogon alutus (bronze cardinalfish)
Lineage: Eukaryota; Metazoa; Chordata; Actinopteri; Kurtiformes; Apogonidae
Description: 16S ribosomal RNA
Rfam family: Bacterial large subunit ribosomal RNA (bases 96-1603)
Source: RNAcentral